Molecule: ribosomal RNA, 253 nt
Filed under: uncultured bacterium
Lineage: Bacteria
Description: partial 16S ribosomal RNA
Rfam family: Bacterial small subunit ribosomal RNA
Source: RNAcentral
UACGGAGGGUGCGAGCGUUGCCCGGAUUUAUUGGGCGUAAAGGGCGCGUAGGCGGCCACGCACGUCCGUUGUGAAAUCGCCCGGCUCAACUGGGCGGGGUCAGCGGAUACGGUGUGGCUCGAGCAAGCUAGGGGGCAAUGGAAUUCCCGGUGUAGUGGUGGAAUGCGUAGAUAUCGGGAGGAACACCAGUGGCGAAGGCGGUUGCCUGGAGCUUUGCUGACGCUGAGGCGCGAAAGCGUGGGGAGCGAUCCGG